RNAcentral lists this ribosomal RNA (235 nucleotides) under uncultured bacterium. Its description in RNAcentral is "partial 16S ribosomal RNA". It matches the Rfam family "Bacterial small subunit ribosomal RNA", at positions 15 to 244 of the family's 1533-position model. The record is from RNAcentral.
GAUCAUGGCUCAGGACGAACGCUGGCGGCGCGCCUAACACAUGCAAGUCGAACGAGAGAUGAGGAGCUUGCUCUUCAAAUCGAGUGGCGAACGGGUGAGUAACGCGUGAGGAACCUGCCUCAAAGAGGGGGGACAACAGUUGGAAACGACUGCUAAUACCGCAUAAGCCCACGGCUCGGCAUCGAGCAGAGGGAAAAGGAGCGAUCCGCUUUGAGAUGGCCUCGCGUCCGAUUAG